UGAUGGUGAGCUUGAUGGCGGCUUAAUUUCGACUUAAGAUAAGGAUAAUUUAGUGAAGUUCACGUCAU
This 68-nucleotide transfer RNA is filed under the name Lycosa grahami. RNAcentral describes it as "tRNA-Arg". The record is from RNAcentral. Lineage: Eukaryota; Metazoa; Arthropoda; Arachnida; Araneae; Lycosidae.